RNAcentral lists this ribosomal RNA (1372 nucleotides) under uncultured bacterium. RNAcentral describes it as "bacterial SSU rRNA". It matches the Rfam family "Bacterial small subunit ribosomal RNA", at positions 28 to 1381 of the family's 1533-position model. The record is from RNAcentral.
GAUGAACGCUGGCGGCGUGCCUAAUACAUGCAAGUCGAGCGAACGGACGAGAAGCUUGCUUUUCUGAUGUUAGCGGCGGACGGGUGAGUAACACGUGGAUAACCUACCUAUAAGACUGGGAUAACUUCGGGAAACCGGAGCUAAUACCGGAUAAUAUUUUGAACCGCAUGGUUCAAAAGUGAAAGACGGUCUUGCUGUCACUUAUAGAUGGAUCCGCGCUGCAUUAGCUAGUUGGUAAGGUAACGGCUUACCAAGGCAACGAUGCAUAGCCGACCUGAGAGGGUGAUCGGCCACACUGGAACUGAGACACGGUCCAGACUCCUACGGGAGGCAGCAGUAGGGAAUCUUCCGCAAUGGGCGAAAGCCUGACGGAGCAACGCCGCGUGAGUGAUGAAGGUCUUCGGAUCGUAAAACUCUGUUAUUAGGGAAGAACAUAUGUGUAAGUAACUGUGCACAUCUUGACGGUACCUAAUCAGAAAGCCACGGCUAACUACGUGCCAGCAGCCGCGGUAAUACGUAGGUGGCAAGCGUUAUCCGGAAUUAUUGGGCGUAAAGCGCGCGUAGGCGGUUUUUUAAGUCUGAUGUGAAAGCCCACGGCUCAACCGUGGAGGGUCAUUGGAAACUGGAAAACUUGAGUGCAGAAGAGGAAAGUGGAAUUCCAUGUGUAGCGGUGAAAUGCGCAGAGAUGUGGAGGAACACCAGUGGCGAAGGCGACUUUCUGGUCUGUAACUGACGCUGAUGUGCGAAAGCGUGGGGAUCAAACAGGAUUAGAUACCCUGGUAGCCCACGCCGUAAACGAUGAGUGCUAAGUGUUAGGGGGUUUCCGCCCCUUAGUGCUGCAGCUAACGCAUUAAGCACUCCGCCUGGGGAGUACGACCGCAAGGUUGAAACUCAAAGGAAUUGACGGGGGCCCGCACAAGCGGUGGAGCAUGUGGUUUAAUUCGAAGCAACGCGAGGAACCUUACCAAAUCUUGACAUCCUUUGACAACUCUAGAGAUAGAGCCUUCCCCUUCGGGGGACAAAGUGACAGGUGGUGCAUGGUUGUCGUCAGCUCGUGUCGUGAGAUGUUGGGUUAAGUCCCGCAACGAGCGCAACCCUUAAGCUUAGUUGCCAUCAUUAAGUUGGGCACUCUAAGUUGACUGCCGGUGACAAACCGGAGGAAGGUGGGGAUGACGUCAAAUCAUCAUGCCCCUUAUGAUUUGGGCUACACACGUGCUACAAUGGACAAUACAAAGGGCAGCGAAACCGCGAGGUCAAGCAAAUCCCAUAAAGUUGUUCUCAGUUCGGAUUGUAGUCUGCAACUCGACUACAUGAAGCUGGAAUCGCUAGUAAUCGUAGAUCAGCAUGCUACGGUGAAUACGUUCCCGGGUCU